AUUGAACGCUGGCGGCAGGCCUAACACAUGCAAGUCGAGCGAGCGGCGGACGGGUGAGUAAUGUAUGGGGACUGCCCGAUCGAGGGGGAUAACUACUGGAAACGGUGGCUAAUACCGCAUACUAUCGGAUAACCCAUAUGGGAUUAGCUAGUAGGUGGGUGAAAGGCUCACCUAGGCGACGAUAUCUAGCUGGUCGGAGAGGAUGAUCAGCAACACUGGGACUGAGACACGGCCCGACCUCCUACGGAGGCAGCAGUGGGGAAUAUUGCACAAUGGGCGAAAGCCUGAUGAAGCCAUGCCGCGGGUAUGAAGAAGGCCUUAGGGUUUUAAAGUUCUUUCGGUAGCGAGGCGUUAACUACAGAAGAAGCACCGGCUAACUCCGUGCCAGCAGCCGCGGUAAUAC
RNAcentral lists this ribosomal RNA (403 nucleotides) under uncultured bacterium. Its description in RNAcentral is "partial 16S ribosomal RNA". It matches the Rfam family "Bacterial small subunit ribosomal RNA", at positions 30 to 526 of the family's 1533-position model. The record is from RNAcentral.